This 407-nucleotide ribosomal RNA is filed under the name uncultured bacterium. Its description in RNAcentral is "partial 16S ribosomal RNA". It matches the Rfam family "Bacterial small subunit ribosomal RNA", at positions 28 to 526 of the family's 1533-position model. The record is from RNAcentral.
GACGAACGCUGGCGGCGUGCCUAAUACAUGCAAGUAGAACGCGGUUGCGAACGGGUGAGUAAUGCGUAGGUAACUGCCUCAUAGCGGGGGAUAACUAUUGGAAACGUUAUCUAAUACCGCAUACUGUGAGAUGGACCUGCGUUGUAUUAGCUAGUUGGGGAGGUAAAGGGCCACCAAGGCGGAGGUACAUAGCCGGCCUGGGCGGGUGGACGGCCAACAUGGGAAUGGGGAACGGGCCAGACUCCUUAGGGAGGGAAGAGGAGGGGAUCAUUGGAAAUGGGGGGAAGUCGGACCGAAGCAAGGCGCGGGAUGUGAGAAAGGUUUCGGGUCGGAAAGCUCUGUUGAUAGAGAAGCGGUAACUAAAGAGAAAGGGACGGCUAACUACGUGCCAGCAGCCGCGGUAAUAC